AGUCCCUACAGGUCCAUACAAGAGAUUACAUCUGGCCUCAUCCGGGGACACCAGUGGGAUCCCAAGAAGUUGUUCAUCCGCUGAUCAGGACCAAGCAUCCGCCAAGUUUCAGAGCCCUAAAAUGAGAAGUGAUGAAGCCAGCACCGCGCCACCUAGUGGUGGGAUUGUGCCGCUGACUUCAACGCUGCCUUGGAUCCCUGGGAGUUGUGUGCAAACUGCUAGGUAAGGCUGAGGCCGGUCGGAGGAUGCGUCCUUGUGCCAAGCACUUAGGAUGAAACCCAGGGGCUGGCACAUGCUAGGCAGGUGCUCAUCACAGAUCUGCAGCCCAGCCUGACCUUUGUGUUAUAGGAGCCUCGGUGGGUUCUGUUUUACAAAACUUUUUUUUUUUAAGUACCCAUUUAUCCAGAUGCAGACGAGUGCUUGGAGCAUUUCCAGGACGCUCCAGCUGCGGGCGGCGCCUCGCGAGUCCCCGGCUUGGGUCCCCGUCCUCGCGCGAGUUGGGGGCUACGCGCGCAACAGGGCUGGGCUGUGAUUGGCCUGAACCAGAAAGGAGUUCCGCCCAUCUGACUAGCGAUUGGUGAAAAUGUGAGUAUGACUGGCAAUCUGACUAAUGAGAAGUGCGAGGAGGCCCUCUAGGGGCAGAGCGCCAAGAGAUGGCUGUGCGCGCGGAGCCAGCUGGACCGGACCGCUAUGAUGGGAAAGGAGGGUGACCCUGCUGUGGUACAGCUUCUAAAGGCCGAGUGCCUUGGUUCACUGCUGACUUCUAAACGUUGGUAGUUAUUUAGGAAUUUCACAUUGCCAUUAAUGGACCUAAUUGGAGUUUGGGACGCAGGGGGUGGGGGGCGUUUGUGGGUUUUGGAAUCAGUGAUGUCAGAGCUGGAAAUAUUUGUCUUCUUCUAG
RNAcentral lists this long non-coding RNA (900 nucleotides) under Heterocephalus glaber (naked mole-rat). RNAcentral describes it as "lncRNA (ENSHGLG00100038984.1)". The record is from RNAcentral. Lineage: Eukaryota; Metazoa; Chordata; Mammalia; Rodentia; Bathyergidae.